RNAcentral lists this ribosomal RNA (424 nucleotides) under uncultured bacterium. Its description in RNAcentral is "bacterial SSU rRNA". It matches the Rfam family "Bacterial small subunit ribosomal RNA", at positions 28 to 449 of the family's 1533-position model. The record is from RNAcentral.
AUUGAACGCUGGCGGCAUGCUUUACACAUGCAAGUCGAGCGGCAGCGCGUCCCCGUAAGGGGAUGGCGGCGAGCGGCGAACGGGUGAGUAAUGCAUCGGAACGUGUCCCGUAGAGGGGGAUAGCCCGGCGAAAGCCGGAUUAAUACCGCAUAUGCUCUACGGAGGAAAGCGGGGGACUCGCAAGGGCCUCGCGCUAUGGGAGCGGCCGAUGUCCGAUUAGCUUGNGGCGGGGUAAUGGCCCACCAAGGCGGCGACGGGUAGCUGGCCUGAGAGGAUGGCCAGCCACAUUGGGACUGAGAAACGGCCCAGACUCCUACGGGAGGCAGCAGUGGGGAAUCUUGCGCAAUGGCCUAACGGCUGACGCAGCGACGCCGCGUGAGGGAUGAAGCUCCUCGGAGUGUAAACCUCUGUUGCCCGGGACGAA